GGUGAAGAUGGGGCUGGCGGAGCCCCACCCGGCUGUAGACCGGGCGUCCUCGUGGUUCAGGGGGUUCGACUCCCUCCUUCACCACC
Molecule: transfer RNA, 86 nt
Filed under: Amycolatopsis sp. CA-230715
Lineage: Bacteria; Bacillati; Actinomycetota; Actinomycetes; Pseudonocardiales; Pseudonocardiaceae
Description: tRNA-Tyr
Source: RNAcentral